CAAGAGAGAGAACAUAAUUUGGUUCAUCAUGACCCACUUGCUGACCCGUUGCUAGAAAGCCAAGUAAAAUGACUUCAUUACGUGUGAUCUAGCUCUGUACUAAUAAACUAUGGAAGUGUUGGAAAGCUAAACAAAAUCCCAAAACGAUCCUCAUUAUUAAGCAUGGAUGAUUAGGGCUAAGUAACUUUUCGAUCAAUAGGGCAUGAUACAAAAAGUAAUGUAAUUAACAUGAAGACUCGCUUCAAAAUCAUCGAGAUGCUUUGUAGCAUCAAUGGAGAUGUUUGCCACUAUUGUAUUUGAAGCUUUCCUGAACCAGUUAAGUAUUCAACUCCGAGCUGAUCCUGGAUAAGAAGUUCAGGGAAAAAGAUACCAUCAUAAAUAUUUAGUAACUUGACUUGAAUAAAUCCUUCCUUCGUCAUUAAUUAAUCUAGUUAAUGCAUACAAUACACAGGUAGGUGAACUGUUGAUUGCUGAAAGUGCAUUGCACAUAUCUCCAAAUCAGCACUAUAAAUAGUACUGUUAUUAAAUUAGCACAACUAAAAAUAUAUUAAAUAAUAUGCAUGAAAAUGCUCAUGGAUUAAUUUAUCUAGCUUCUAUUGUCAAGAUAAUAGCUCUGCUCUCUUUAGUGGUGAAGUUUUUUCAUGAUACACGAGAUGAACAUCGAAAUAAAGAAACUGAAUUGAGAUCUUAUUUGGUCUGGCAUCCAGGUAAAAGGUGAACGCCAUACACCAACAACCAUGAACAUAAACGUAAAUAGAAGCAACAACAAUAAAAAAUCCUGAUAUUACCUACUGCCCCAACAAUUUAUCCUCAUGUUGGAUCCAUAACAGGGAGGAGAGACGAGAGGCAAGUUGUACCUGAGGCGC
RNAcentral lists this ribosomal RNA (866 nucleotides) under Triticum aestivum (bread wheat). Its description in RNAcentral is "partial small subunit ribosomal RNA". Lineage: Eukaryota; Viridiplantae; Streptophyta; Magnoliopsida; Poales; Poaceae. The record is from RNAcentral.